Molecule: ribosomal RNA, 764 nt
Filed under: uncultured archaeon
Lineage: Archaea
Description: bacterial SSU rRNA
Rfam family: Archaeal small subunit ribosomal RNA
Source: RNAcentral
AGUUCCUGGUAAAAUCGGGUAGCUUAACUAUCUGUAUGCUAGGAAUACUACUAUGCUAGAGGGCGGGAGAGGUCUGAGGUACUACAGGGGUAGGGGUGAAAUCUUAUAAUCCUUGCAGGACCACCAGUGGCGAAGGCGUCAGACUGGAACGCGCCUGACGGUGAGGGACGAAAGCCAGGGGAGCGAACCGGAUUAGAUACCCGGGUAGUCCUGGCCGUAAACGAUGCACACUAGGUGAUGGCACGGCCAUGAGCCGUGUCAGUGCCGUAGGGAAACCGUUAAGUGUGCCGCCUGGGAAGUACGGUCGCAAGGCUGAAACUUGAAGGAAUUGGCGGGGGAGCACCACAAGGGGUGAAGCCUGCGGUUCAAUUGGACUCAACGCCGGGAAACUUACCAGGGGAGACAGUAGAAUGACGGUCAGGUUGACGACCUUACCUAACAAGCUGAGAGGAGGUGCAUGGCCGUCGCCAGUUCGUGCUGUGAGGUAUCCUGUUAAGUCAGGCAACGAACGAGACCCGCGCCUUUAUUUGCCAGCAAGAAGUCACGACUUCGUUGGGAACAAUAAAGGGACCGCCGUCGAUAAGACGGAGGAAGGAGCGGGCGAAGGCAGGUCAGUAUGCCCCGAAACCCCUGGGCUACACGCGGGCUGCAAUGGUAUGAACAAUGGGCUGUGACUCCGAAAGGAGAAACCAAUCCCGAAAUCAUAUCUCAGUUGGGAUUGUCGGCUGUAACUCGCCGACAUGAACGUGGAAUCCCUAGUAAUC